Molecule: ribosomal RNA, 1443 nt
Filed under: uncultured organism
Description: SSU rRNA
Rfam family: Bacterial small subunit ribosomal RNA
Source: RNAcentral
GAACGCUAUCUACAGGCUUAACACAUGCAAGUCGAGGGGCAUCAGGAAGAUUGCUUGCUUUCUUUGCUGGCGACCGGCGCACGGGUGAGUAACACGUAUCCAACCUGCCCUUUACUCGGGGAUAGCCUUUCGAAAGAAAGAUUAAUACCCGAUGGCAUAAUGAUUCCGCAUGGUUUCAUUAUUAAAGGAUUCCGGUAAAGGAUGGGGAUGCGUUCCAUUAGGUUGUUGGUGAGGUAACGGCUCACCAAGCCUUCGAUGGAUAGGGGUUCUGAGAGGAAGGUCCCCCACAUUGGAACUGAGACACGGUCCAAACUCCUACGGGAGGCAGCAGUGAGGAAUAUUGGUCAAUGGGCGCUAGCCUGAACCAGCCAAGUAGCGUGAAGGAUGAAGGCUCUAUGGGUCGUAAACUUCUUUUAUAUAAGAAUAAAGUGCAGUAUGUAUACUGUUUUGUAUGUAUUAUAUGAAUAAGGAUCGGCUAACUCCGUGCCAGCAGCCGCGGUAAUACGGAGGAUCCGAGCGUUAUCCGGAUUUAUUGGGUUUAAAGGGAGCGUAGGUGGACUGGUAAGUCAGUUGUGAAAGUUUGCGGCUCAACCGUAAAAUUGCAGUUGAUACUGUCAGUCUUGAGUACAGUAGAGGUGGGCGGAAUUCGUGGUGUAGCGGUGAAAUGCUUAGAUAUCACGAAGAACUCCGAUUGCGAAGGCAGCUCACUGGACUGCAACUGACACUGAUGCUCGAAAGUGUGGGUAUCAAACAGGAUUAGAUACCCUGGUAGUCCACACAGUAAACGAUGAAUACUCGCUGUUUGCGAUAUACAGUAAGCGGCCAAGCGAAAGCAUUAAGUAUUCCACCUGGGGAGUACGCCGGCAACGGUGAAACUCAAAGGAAUUGACGGGGGCCCGCACAAGCGGAGGAACAUGUGGUUUAAUUCGAUGAUACGCGAGGAACCUUACCCGGGCUUAAAUUGCAGUGGAAUGAUGUGGAAACAUGUCAGUGAGCAAUCACCGCUGUGAAGGUGCUGCAUGGUUGUCGUCAGCUCGUGCCGUGAGGUGUCGGCUUAAGUGCCAUAACGAGCGCAACCCUUAUCUUUAGUUACUAACAGGUUAUGCUGAGGACUCUAGAGAGACUGCCGUCGUAAGAUGUGAGGAAGGUGGGGAUGACGUCAAAUCAGCACGGCCCUUACGUCCGGGGCUACACACGUGUUACAAUGGGGGGUACAGAAGGCAGCUAGCGGGUGACCGUAUGCUAAUCCCAAAAGCCUCUCUCAGUUCGGAUCGAAGUCUGCAACCCGACUUCGUGAAGCUGGAUUCGCUAGUAAUCGCGCAUCAGCCACGGCGCGGUGAAUACGUUCCCGGGCCUUGUACACACCGCCCGUCAAGCCAUGGGAGCCGGGGGUACCUGAAGUACGUAACCGCAAGGAUCGUCCUAGGGUAAAACUGGUGACUG